This 1357-nucleotide ribosomal RNA is filed under the name uncultured bacterium. RNAcentral describes it as "bacterial SSU rRNA". It matches the Rfam family "Bacterial small subunit ribosomal RNA", at positions 28 to 1381 of the family's 1533-position model. The record is from RNAcentral.
GAUGAACGCUAGCUACAGGCUUAACACACGCAAGUCGAGGGGUAACAUGAAGCAAGCUUGCUUGCUUUGAUGACGACCGGCGCACGGGUGAGUAACGCGUAUCCAACCUGCCCCUUACUACGGGACAGCCCGGCGAAAGUCGGAUUAAUACCGUAUGUGGUGUGAAGAGGGCAUCUGACUUACACUAAAGAUUCAUCGGUAAGGGAUGGGGAUGCGUCCGAUUAGCUGGUUGGCGGGGUAACGGCCCACCAAGGCGACGAUCGGUAGGGGUUCUGAGAGGAAGGUCCCCCACACUGGAACUGAGACACGGUCCAGACUCCUACGGGAGGCAGCAGUGAGGAAUAUUGGUCAAUGGGCGCGAGCCUGAACCAGCCAAGUAGCGUGCAGGAAGACGGCCCUAUGGGUUGUAAACUGCUUUUAUGCGGGGAUAACGUGUGCCACGUGUGGCAUAUUGCAGGUACCGCAUGAAUAAGGACCGGCUAAUUCCGUGCCAGCAGCCGCGGUAAUACGGAAGGUCCGGGCGUUAUCCGGAUUUAUUGGGUUUAAAGGGAGCGCAGGCCGGCGAUUAAGCGUGCUGUGAAAUGUAGGCGCCCAACGUCUGAAUUGCAGCGCGAACUGGUUGUCCUGAGUACGCUGGAAGUGGGCGGAAUUUGUGGUGUAGCGGUGAAAUGCUUAGAUAUCACGAAGAACUCCGAUUGCGAAGGCAGCCCACUGUUGCGUCACUGACGCUGAGGCUCGAAAGUGCGGGUAUCGAACAGGAUUAGAUACCCCGGUAGUCCGCACGGUAAACGAUGGAUGCCCGCUGUUUGCCCUUUUUUAUGGGUGAGCGGCCAAGCGAAAGCAUUAAGCAUCCCACCUGGGGAGUACGCCGGCAACGGUGAAACUCAAAGGAAUUGACGGGGGCCCGCACAAGCGGAGGAACAUGUGGUUUAAUUCGAAGCAACGCGAAGAACCUUACCAGGUCUUGACAUCCCGCGCAUAGUGUAGAGAUACAUGAAGUCCUUCGGGACGCGGUGACAGGUGGUGCAUGGUUGUCGUCAGCUCGUGUCGUGAGAUGUUGGGUUAAGUCCCGCAACGAGCGCAACCCUUGCCAUUAGUUGCUACGCGAGAGCACUCUAAUGGGACCGCUACCGACAAGGUGGAGGAAGGUGGGGAUGACGUCAAAUCAUCAUGCCCCUUAUGACCUGGGCUACACACGUAAUACAAUGGCCGUCAACAGAGGGCUGCAAUACCGUGAGGUGGAGCCAAUCCCUAAAAACGGUCUCAGUUCGGAUCGCAGGCUGCAACCCGCCUGCGUGAAGCUGGAAUUGCUAGUAAUCGCGGAUCAGCAUGCCGCGGUGAAUACGUUCCCGGGCCU